Molecule: long non-coding RNA, 400 nt
Organism: Lutra lutra (Eurasian river otter)
Lineage: Eukaryota; Metazoa; Chordata; Mammalia; Carnivora; Mustelidae
Exons: 3
Source: RefSeq, a predicted model, not a curated record
CCUCAGCAGCUAGUGAAUCACCAGCCACCCUGCCUUGGAAAAGGAUCUUGAUUUAUUCCCCCUCUCCAAAUUCUCUGAAGACUGAAGUUCCUUAAGGACUAAGAAAACACUUGCCUCUCUUCCAGUGACUUUUCCUGGCCCCGGGAGCCAGCUGGGCCAACUGACGUCAGGACACCGGUGGCCUGCGAGCGGCGUGCUGAAUCACCCCCGCCCCGAGUGGACGCCCCAGCCUCUACCUGCGUGUUGCUUUGUCCUUCACAGGUCAGGGCGUUGGUUUUCUUUUUAAAUAAAUAAAGCUGAACCUGACUCACAACUCAAGAGAGACUGCCGCUCCGCUCAGCGUCACCAUGGUAACUGCUCCAUCCAUGGAACACUUGAAAAUCUUAACACUCAAUCAAGA